This 429-nucleotide ribosomal RNA is filed under the name uncultured archaeon. RNAcentral's name for it is "bacterial SSU rRNA". It matches the Rfam family "Archaeal small subunit ribosomal RNA", at positions 474 to 903 of the family's 1478-position model. The record is from RNAcentral.
AACCAGCUCUUCAAGUGGUCGGGAUAAUUAUUGGGCUUAAAGUGUCCGUAGCCGGUUUAGUAAGUUCCUGGUAAAAUCGGGUAGCUUAACUAUCUAUAUGCUAGGAAUACUGCUAUACUAGAGGGCGGGAGAGGUCUGAGGUACUACAGGGGUAGGGGUGAAAUCUUAUAAUCCUUGUAGGACCACCAGUGGCGAAGGCGUCAGACUGGAACGCGCCUGACGGUGAGGGACGAAAGCCAGGGGAGCGAACCGGAUUAGAUACCCGGGUAGUCCUGGCUGUAAACGAUGCAUACUAGGUGAUGGUACGGCCAUGAGCCGUGUCAGUGCCGUAGGGAAACCGUUAAGUGUGCCGCCUGGGAAGUACGGUCGCAAGGCUGAAACUUAAAGGAAUUGGCGGGGGAGCACCACAAGGGGUGAAGCUUGCGGUUU